RNAcentral lists this long non-coding RNA (583 nucleotides) under Helianthus annuus (common sunflower). RNAcentral's name for it is "sRNA HanXRQr2_Chr15g0684761". The record is from RNAcentral. Lineage: Eukaryota; Viridiplantae; Streptophyta; Magnoliopsida; Asterales; Asteraceae.
UCGAGAGCAGGGCCAAAGGGAAGAGCCAAAAACCCUAACAACCAAAAAUCAUCAAAUUGAUAAGGAGAUCAAGGGAAAAAUCGAAUGCAUGAGUCUGGAUACUCUUUAAUCUAAGUGUAUUGAUCAUAAGGAACCCCAAAUUGACAUGGACUCAAAUAUGGAAGGCUAACGGAUCAAGAGGAAAUGAGGAAGUUAUGCACAAACUUGGACGCACGAGGUUUAUGAAUGUCGGACUUUCGAAGUGUUGAUAUAGUAAUGAAAUGAUUGAGUGUUGGAAGAUAAUCGGGUUGAAGUAACUUAAGCGGUUAGAAUAUGCUAUGGACGUUUUAGUUUAUACAAUAUUUUAUGUUUGGUCGUCACCACCUACUAACAGGUUAGUUGUAUGAGAAUAUAUGUGAUACCCAUUUAAUUGGGAAAUCGAAUGCGUAAGAGAAAUGAGAGUAUGUACAUGAAUGGAAUUAAAAUGACGGUUUUAUAAGCAAACAAGUAUAAAGACUAACUUUUUAAAGCUUUGUUGUUGAAUGUAGGUAAACCCUCAAUUCAGGCGACUUGGAGAAUCGGAGCGAGCGCGUGUUCAUGUUAU